AGGAGGUUCAGAAGGUUAAAUUUCACAGUGGUAUCAGCAGAUGUGCUCACCACCUUCCUGCCGUCUCUGAGACGGGGUUCCUGUGGCCUCUUGCUGCCUCCCACCUUCAGUUUUGCUGCUGCUGCUGCUGUUUCAGGGUUCAGGAUGCAGGAGGAAAUGGCCAUGAAGCAAUUGUUCCUUCAGCUCAGCCGUGCUCCUUCCCGUCUUCGCCUGGGCUGUACAGCACACCCUCCCACUCUCAUCUUAUCUUAGAACAACAAAAAAUGUAAUUCUGCUGAUGGAAGUAUUCCCUGAGCUGCAGGGCUGGAGAAAUAGGAUUUGUCCAUGUUGGCAAUUUAAGGUAAAGCUCCUUUCCGUUCCUCUAGCAGUGGAGCUGUAGCUGGGGUUUAGAGGAGGGGAUGCGUACCCCAAGCUGGAUGCUCCAUCAGCUCGCUUCAGAGCAGGCACUUCAAGCAUGUGGCUUAUAAAUAGGUCACAGGAGCUUGAUCUGAGAAGAACAUGUGUCCACACAGUGCUCUUGUACUAAGCUGAUCUGACCUCCAGAGGUUUCCCAUGUUGUGUUUAAAUGGUCAUGCUAUGAAAACCACUGAAGCAGUAGUUUGAACAUACUUUGUUUUAGGUCUCAGUGGCAUUCAUACAUCAAGAUGACUUGAUGACUACAGAAGGGUAAAACUUAAAAACCAGGUCUUCGCUAUGGAAAAAAUGAUUUUCUUUUUAUUUUGUAAAAAGAAUAUGUAAUCAUUAGGGGCUGGUUGCACUUGGCAAUUAUUAAUGUUACUUUAUUUUUCUUGAGCACAUUUUCAAUAGAAAAUGUAUCAUUUCAAGCAUUUCUUCAGAAACAAACUUCAGCCGUGACUUUGGACAAAGAGCAUCUGUUUUUUGAUCAUGCUAAAUGUGGAACACGGUGGCCAGAAGCUACGUGAAACUCCUUACGGGCUGGUUCCUGCUCUUUUCCCAAUGCAGCUAAUGGCGUGGAAUUGUAUCUCGGAAGACAUGUUCCUAAAACCAUCAAUAAUUCAGCUUUAAAUAUUGGAAGAAAGUUGGAUACUGAAAAACAAUAGCUGCAGGUUAUCCUCUUUGACCAAAUGUUAAUUCUUCUGGGCAAACAGAAGAUCUGAAAAAGAACAACUCUGGCUAUCUUUCUACGAGACUGCAAAAUAUUUCCUGCUUAGCUCUUCUGUCACGUGCCACUUAAGAUGUCGCAUUUCAAAUUGUAAAUCAAUUUACAAGUUGGAAAAGUGAUAUCACUGAAAAACAUUUUUGCAGGAUUGCCUAACUUCUUCCAUGCAAAUAUAAUAAUAGUACGUCUCUCGUGCAAAUAUAGAAAAGAGUGGUCAUGGACUAUUUUGGGAAAAGCAUACUCACCAGGUGGACAUAGAGAGAAUAUUCAGUCGGCCACUGAGGAGCUGAAGAACAGUAAUAAAUAUUACUAAAGAUGGGUAUGGAUGAAGAUUAGCCUAUUCCUUCAGGAAAACUAUCAAAUUAAACUUAGAAAAAUGUUGGUACACUCACAACAUAAAUCAUGUGCUCUUCUGCAAAUGAACAGUAAAUGAAAAAUAGAGGAUAUGUGUCAUCCAUACUUUAUAGUGUUGACUUCAUUUUCUCAAGUAUGUAGGAAAGAUUUUGAUGUGUGUAUAUUAAUAUUUCUCUAUUGGCUAAAGAUUCAUUUAAAACAAAACAUAGCUCAAAGCUUUUCUGAAAGUUGUAAGUGUUCUGCUCCACCUUCCACCAAGUCCCAUGGAGUUGAACUGAGUUCUGUAACUGUGUGCUUGGUGUCAUCUCCCAUGGUGGUGCACUGUGAUCCCUCCCCUGGCUCCAAAGCCCUAACUGAACUGUGGCUGAAGGACUGAAUAUGGUAUUAAUGCAUGGCUGCUGCUGCCUGCCAUCCUUUCGGUACUUCUUCAAAACCCAGGUAAAGCAUUCUGGAUCUACAGAGUGCUCCUCCAGGUGCUUGAACUGUAACCAUGUCCCUAAAUAUUUUUUUUUUAAUAUGUGCAAGUGACUAAAAAUUUUACUCUGAUCUUUCAAAAAAUAGGGAUUUUAUACACCCCCCAAGGACUAUGAAAUUUACCCAGAAAAGUGGAAUCUGUGUUUACCAUUAGAUAUGAACACUUUUAUAACUUUGGUUAACUAGAAUUACACAAUAUUGGAUUUAAGAUUGUUAACAGUAAAUACUUCGAGAAGCAAAAUAUGGAGCUAAAAAAAUCUGAUUGUGUUUGUUUAACUGAUUAGUAGUGUUUAUGUAUUUUGUCAUCCAAGUAUUGUUGCAGAACAAAGUUAUAUUACGUAGAAUUAGGAAUGCAUAAGCUUCCCUUGAGCUAGUUUUGUCUAGGGAAGGCAUGCAGCACAACUUGCCACCUAACAGAUUCUUUUAAAAUGCAUUUCCUCAUCAAAGUAUGCCUGGUAUCUUUGUUUCUGGCAGCUGUAUUCUCAUUGUUCUUUUGUCAAAUAACAAUUUUUUACUUUUGCAGACUGUAAUUACUAGUGUAGUAAAAAGAGAACAAAUUCUGCAUUAUUUGCGGCCUUCUGGCUUCACUUUUAUUACUGAUUAAUUACUGUAGUUUAGCAGGACCUAGGCAUAAGGACCAGUAUAAGUCAAGGUCUUCAACUUUAUUUGAAAGUAGUGCAAAUUAAGUCCAGUAGGGUUUUUUGGUUUUGUUUUUUUGAGUGCAUUUUGGAAGCAUAAAAAUAUUAGCCUACUUCUUAAAUGCAUCGUAAUUGCUUUCCGUAGGAGAGUCUGCAGGGUGAAAAACUCAACACUUUUUCCAGAGAAUGAUGCAAAAUAUAGCUUUUGUGGUGACAAAUAGUUUCCUUCACAAAUGAAAGUUCUCUCCGUCUGUGAAAGACACCCACAGUUGGGCACUUCCAGUUUCAUAUCUCUGAGCCGGGUCUGGCUUCCCUGAACUCAAGAUAUUUUCCACAAUUGAAGGAGGAAAUCGUGUGCUGCAGUGCCACUCGUGUCCUUAUGAGCUUUGGGGUGCUCACUGCUAUACCUCAACCAUCAGUUUUUGUAAAUAGGCUUGAAAUUCCAUGUGGCUUCAUUCCCACCUGGCACUCUGUCUGUACUGCUCAAUCCUUUAAGAAAUUCAUCCAUGGGGGGAUCCAGAUACCUCUGCCCACAAGGAAACACGUAAGCCUUUAUCAAGCCACUGGACGUUUGUGUAAAUGAAUCAGACCUCUGGUGUACCCAUGGAAAUGUCUUCCUUUUCCGGUAAGGCAAGCAAGGAGUUGAUUAAGGGUCGAAGUCCACUGAUGAGUAAGUUCUAAAAAAACAUGAAGAAUGAAGUAUUUUGCACCAGUCUGAAAUAUGAAUUCCUACAAGCAGAUAAGGCAAGCAGUUCUGGAGAACUAAAAUGCUCUGAAAGGUCUGGCCCCAGCCUCUCUUUCUCUGUCCUAUUUUGUAUGGGAAUAGUGUGUUUUUUUGGAGAGUGAAGGUGGGGAUGCAUUGGGGAGUGAUCCUUCAGGGAGGGAGCUGAGGGAUGGAGACCUGCCCGCUGGCACGUCCAGGACCCUGGUAGAGGGUGAGGGGGAGGCAGGGUGUCUUGGAGGUGGACAGGCUGCAAAAAGAAAAAAAACACAUUUCUCAUUACAGCCCCUAGGAACAUCCCACAUUGCCUUCUCAUCCCUUCCCAUGGGUCCCACUGCUCUGUCCUCCUUUUCCUUCUGCAGUACCCUCCCCUGUCCCCCACAUGUCCCUGAUUACACUCUGAAAUUGCACCCACUGCUGCAAAAAGUCUGGUGUGGGGCAGCAAAAUUGAGUUUUGCUUAUGCUGCUUGAGCUGGCUGUGGUCUCAUAGGCAGGAUUAGUUCCACACAUGACGCAGGACCACAGCAGAAUCCCAGGCUCAGCCAUGGGCCCUUGGCCCCGCAGCCCCCUUGGAGGCCAGACCCCCUUCCUGCUGCAGGAGAGGUGGCUGCAAUGAGCCUGGGGGGUCUUCUCCACCUUGCCUCUUCCCUAUCCCCCCGGCUCCUGUGGCAGCAUGACCCCCCCCGCCUGACUCACUGACCCACAGCACACCAGACAUUGUUCAUGCACUGUAGAGCCCGACACAGACAGUAUAACGGAAUGGGCUAAUUAAAAAGGCAGCAUUUAAAAUGCCAGACCAUGGUUGCUUGGAACUGUAAUCCAACUUCGGUAUUAUUUUCGAGCUUAGAUUUUUGAAUCCAAAAUUCCAUGUGACGGAAGAGAUGGGUAUUUAAACAGAUGUCUGCAAUUUCUUUAAAAAAUAGAGAUUGAGUUACAGAUGGUAGAAAGGGCCUGAGAAUUAAAAACUCCUGAGCUACAAGAAAAUUUACAUGUGAGCAAAAUGGUUUACUGAAAUGAAUGGUCGUGAAAUUCUCCAUGUUUGAAAAUUAAGGUUCUUUCACCAAAAAUCUGAAUAUCUUUUCUCUUCCAUAUUAUCUGCUUCUCUACUGGUAGCCUUGGCUGUCACCAUCAUUGUCACAGUCAAGUCGCAAUAUGAGGGUCCUGUUUCUAACAGACAGGGUAUAUAGUUCUUUCCUUCUCCUAUCUCUUGUACAAUUUGGACUGCCAGGAACAAAAAUUUUCAUCUGAAUUAGCUUAAAAAGAAAAUUAAUCUACCUCGUCUGUGUAACCAGUGCCUGAUUGCUCUAACUUCCAUUUUAUAAAUUACAAAUAAAUGGAAUGUUGUGGUGUGAGCCUGGAAGGAAACCAAAGUCAUCAUCUGUACUCGCAGAUGAAAUAGAAUUUAUUUUUUUCUUCUUUUGGGCAUUUAAAAAGAAAACGCCCAAAAUAAACUUCACGUGAAAAAGCUGGUAACUUCUAAAGUGACAUAUGAAAUGCGAAGUGCUGCAUAUUGGAAAGGAAAAACUGAACGCAUUUGGUACAAUUUUGAAGGAGCAAUUCAGGAUUCAGCUCACCAGCUGGGAGACCUGUGCAUUGCUGUGAUUCAGUUUAUGAAGAUCUCCACUCAUGCAUAUGUGCUCAAAAAAAAGCAGUACUAGGAUGUAUAUGAAACAAGUACAUAGACUCAAAUGCAGGCUGUAGGGAGACUUUUACAUGCUCCUUACAUCCAUACAUGCAUACUCCUCACCUACUCUGCAGAGUCCCAGUCGGUCCACUGCAAAACCAGUUGAAAUUUGCAUGAUUUCAGAGAAGAGCAGCAAGACCCACUAGGUGCAGAAAAAAGCUGUCAUGUGAAGAGCGACCAACCUCAUUUACUUUACGGCGGAGUAGGCAUAAUCAAAGUGUCUACAUCAAUGAGAACAUUAAGAAGGAGAAUGGGGAGCAUCUGUUUUCUCUAUCUUACCGUGUAAGUACAGAGAAAUAGGUCUGUUAAAGGGAAUGAGGUUUGCUCCAAGCAUGGAACCACCCUUACAAAUAUUCAGAUUUAGUGUGGAUUCCUGGAUGUGUCUCAGGCUGGAUUUCUAGUAGACCAAAGUGCAGAGGAUGCCUAGAGGAUCUGUCCCAAAUUGUUUAUUAAUGCUGACAGAUGCUCUCUGACUAUGCCAGUAUUAUUAGAAAUCCAUCAGCCUCUUGCAAUUUUGCAGCCUUCAACACUGUGCUGGGUACUUACAUUCAGGGCCUGGAGACCUGUGGUGGCUGGUAGGGCAUUAUUCUGGUUUUGCUGGUUUUCUUUAUGUGUCUGGUUUUUCUCACUAAAAUUGUAUUUAAUAUUACUUUUUGUUAGCUGUGUAUUUGUCUUCAUUGAGAAGGCAGCAUAUACCACAGUGCGAGAAUGACAGCUCUUUGCAUUUACAUAAAAAUCUGCUUUGAACUGAUAUUUGCAUAUUUUACAGGACAACUUUUUGAAAGUGAGGUAGAACACGAGUGUACCUUCUAUUACUCCACUUAGACAGGAGCCUCCUGGCACUAAGUAAUUAUACAUGUAAGAAUAAAUGGCAAAGAAUAAUAAGAGAAUGUUCAACCUACUCUUUAAAGAUGAUUGACAAAACGCUUUCAAAAAUGGGCUUCUCCUUUUUUGCUUUUAAAGACACAGAAAGUACUCCUAAAUGACUGUUCUUGGAUUAUUUCUGGAGGAGAAUGGAGAGGAGAACUGCUUUUACCUUAGAGGAAAACUGUUUUUACCUUAGAAAUCACAUGAAUGUCAGCUUUGGAGGUUUUUCUGUCUUGCUGGAGGACUUGUUGAAGGUCUCAGAUGUUUAUUGUGAGCUCUGACAUUUUAAUUGAAAGGACAGGGGUGUUGAUUUUUUUAAACAAAUAGACCCUUUGACCAAAUUGUUUAUUAGAUACUGGAUUAAGUAGGUUUUAACAACAAAAAUCGUAAAUCAGUGUUUCAGCAGUCUGACUUAAGAUCCUUUCUUUUCUCAUUUGCUCAUCUUUAAAAUUUUAUAUCCAGUGAUAUUAUAAUUACAUUAAUUCUCCAUUUGUCAGGGGAUUUUGAAAACUAAUUCUCUGUUUCAAAUGUAAAAAUCAAGAAUUCCCCAAAGCUUUUUUGGUUAAACUUCUGGAUAACAUUUAAAGCUUGAAAAUGGUUGGUUAUUUGUCAAGGAAGAAAAAAAAAAAGGGAAAUGGCAGAGUUCUGUUGGAGUAAAAAAAUGCAAAUUUCAUCAGUCUAGCUGGAAAAAAAGAGAAAAUCACAGUUUUGAAUAUUUUAUUUAAUACUAUCUGCCAUGGGAAAUAUGGAGAAAACUGGCUUGAAGUAUAACAGUUGAAAAAGACUAAACAGCAGGUUUUCUGAAAUAAAAUUAUAUCUAAAAUAAAAUAGAGUGGCAAAAGAUGACAAUAGUGAAAGUCAAACAAAAGGAGAGAACAAAAACCCCGAGAGAGAGGAAAAGACCGGUGAGCUCUUUGCUUUUCAGAAUGCAGACUGGGCACAUAUGCCUGAUUGCCAGAUCAGUUUUCUGAAAAGGAUAUCUACCCUGUAUCAAGAACUAAAAAAAUUUAUAUCAUUAGGAGGGCCAUGAGAAUAGGAGAAAUUUCUCAUCUAAAGAAGUUACAUCCAUUUACAGAAUGUGGAUAUUUUUAUUGCUCAGCUUGAAUCAUGCCGAGGGGUCUUGUGCCUUCAGUAUUUUGAGUCUUCCUGAACCGUGCCACAGUAAUAAGAGCACCCUUGUGAAUACCAAAUGAGGACUGAAUUACCAUCAUGUACACAUCCUGCAUCGGAGCCACAUCGGAAGUCAAAUAUCAUGUCACAUAUGAAAGCUUAAGAACUGAUUAAUUUUAAUAGCAUAUUUAUAGUUCUCAUUUACGGAGAACUCAAAAUGCUUUAAGAAAAUGGAAUACUAAAUUAUACUGGAAUAACGUGAAUCAAUGGGAACUAUACAUGAAUUAGGACUCUUUGUGAUGAUGGAGGAGUCCAAGAUGGAAUCUUCUGUAGAGCGAUCACUUCAUUCAAUAUUGAUAGUGUUAAACGGUUUGCAUGCGAUCUGGGCCUCAUUCAAAUACAUGAGACAUUUACGGUUGACUUCAGUUGAGGACAGGACUUCAUCCUGUGUUUGGCAGAGACAAGAGGACAGCAAUGUUGCACCACACUUCAGAAAGAGGGAUAUCUCAUCCAUUUGGAAGAAUAGAGGGAAUUUCAGACAAAGGGAGCAUGCUUACAGAAACCCAAAUAUAAGCAGAAAACUGGGUUAACUUGCUGUCUGCCAGACCACAUGUCUCAGGGUCCUUGAGAAAUGGUACCACAACUCUGUCUCUUCUAGAAGACAGUUCUGAAAAGAUCAUAAAUAAAAUGGGAAUACCUUAUGAAAAAAAAUUAUAUGCGAAAAUUUGUAUCAUGUGAAUUUCACAGCCAAAAUUACUUCCAUAAGCUUAAGCUUUGUUUUUGUAAUUGGGGAUGAAAAUACACUCUUUAA
Chroicocephalus ridibundus (black-headed gull) is the source of this 7779-nucleotide long non-coding RNA. RefSeq lists it as uncharacterized. The record is from RefSeq and is a predicted model, not a curated record. Lineage: Eukaryota; Metazoa; Chordata; Aves; Charadriiformes; Laridae. The transcript has 3 exons.